This 301-nucleotide unclassified non-coding RNA is filed under the name uncultured fungus. RNAcentral's name for it is "partial contains 5.8S ribosomal RNA, internal transcribed spacer 2, and large subunit ribosomal RNA". The record is from RNAcentral. Lineage: Eukaryota; Fungi.
AACGCAUAUUGCACUCUCCGUUCUGCGGAGAGUAUGCCUGUUUCAGGGUCUUUUGGAAAAAUCCGGGAAUUUAUUUUUCUGGGAAAUGAACUUUUCGCGAUGAUGCGAUAGUUUAAAAUUAAAUGCGUUUACAACUGAUAGGACGCGUAAUAGUAGUAAAAUGCUAAUAUCGUAACUUAUCAGUUGGUAUUAAUAAACGGUGAAUAAGUUUGAUUAUAAUUCGAGUUUAUUCUUGGAUUGGUCAAACAAAAAUAAGUCUUAUACAGACCUGAAAUCAGGCAAGAUUACCCGCUGAACUUAA